Canis lupus familiaris (dog) is the source of this 1004-nucleotide long non-coding RNA. RefSeq lists it as uncharacterized. NCBI's taxonomy places the organism in Eukaryota, Metazoa, Chordata, Mammalia, Carnivora, Canidae. The record is from RefSeq and is a predicted model, not a curated record. The transcript has 5 exons.
UCUGUAGACUGAAGUGCCUGGGGGACAACUCACAAGACCGAAGGGUUGAGAAGAUGACUGCUUCCAGAAGUGGCAUCCAGUUUGCCUGGCAGACUCCCCAGCAAUAAGACUGAAGUGACCAGGAGCAACUCACAGACUCAAGAGGGAUGAGAAGAUGACUGCUUCCAGCAGGGGCAUCCUGUGGCCUGGCUGAUUUCCCAGCAACAAGCUUCUCCUGAUGAUCGCACCUGCCCCAUGACAAGAUACCAGAACGACGAUGGUGGUGAUAGAAGAACUGUCAUCAGCAUUGCUGCCCUGGGGACAAAGUCAUCACAUACACACUAAGUGAAGAAGUCAGUAGUGUGCUUAAUGAGUUUUGUGAGGACACGUACCUCCCUUGAACACGAGGACAAAAGCCUAGAAGGUUCCAAGGCUGCCAGGUGCUCACAGCCUGCAGGGAACAGCUGGUUCAGACCUAGUCCCCAUGUCUGCCAGCCUCCCAGACCUGCUGGCCUCGUGGAUUGACCAGUCAUGGGUCCAGCCUGGGGGUCCAGCCCGCUGAGCACCCAGCGAUGUGGUCUGAUCAGUGGUGCGCUGAGGGGAGAGGUCGUUCUCAUAUGGAGCUGCCAAAGGGGAGCCCUGGAGGCCGAAUGAUACCUCUUAACUCCCUGAGGAUUUAUUGCAUCAACAAGGACAGAAUGACAGCUCCAGUCCAAGCCCUGCCCCUUGGAGGAUGUGUGUCCUUGGGAAAGUCACUGUGAAUGGGAAUAAUAAUGCUCACUCUGGAGACAUCCUCCACCAUGGGCCUGGGAUGGGUCAAGUUUAUUCCUUUGUAAAUAAAUAUUUUUUGUGAACUCACAUACAAUGUGAUUCGUUAACCAUUUGUUCCUUAUAAUAAUGUACAAACAUGGUUAUAACAACCACAUUUGAUACAUCAGCAAUUUGGAAUCUUAAAACUUUUCAUUUGCUCAAAGUAAUGUAAGUAAUGAAGCCUUGAUUCAAACUCAACUCUAAUAAAGUCCAAA